This 460-nucleotide ribosomal RNA is filed under the name uncultured bacterium. RNAcentral describes it as "partial 16S ribosomal RNA". It matches the Rfam family "Bacterial small subunit ribosomal RNA", at positions 338 to 795 of the family's 1533-position model. The record is from RNAcentral.
CCUACGGGUGGCAGCAGUGAGGAAUAUUGGUCAAUGGACGCAAGUCUGAACCAGCCAAGCAGCGUGAAGGAUGACUGCCCUAUGGGUUGUAAACUGCUUUUAUACGAGGAUAAAGUGAGAUACGCGUACCUGUCUGAAAGUACCGUAUGAAUAAGGAUCGGCUAACUCCGUGCCAGCAGCCGCGGUAAUACGGAGGAUCCAAGCGUUAUCCGGAUUUAUUGGGUUUAAAGGGUGCGUAGGCGGUUGGAUAAGUUAGAUGUGAAAGCUCGAGGCUCAACUUCGGAAUUGCCUCUGAUACGGGGCGGCGAGAGAAUAGUUGAGGUAGGCGGAAUGUAUGGUGUAGCGGUGAAAUGCUGAGAGAUCAUACAGAACACCGAUUGCGAAGGCAGCAUACCGGCGCCCUACUGACGCUGAGGCACGAAAGCGUGGGUAUCGAACAGGAUUAGAUACCCGAGUAGUC